RNAcentral lists this ribosomal RNA (440 nucleotides) under uncultured bacterium. RNAcentral describes it as "partial 16S ribosomal RNA". It matches the Rfam family "Bacterial small subunit ribosomal RNA", at positions 338 to 795 of the family's 1533-position model. The record is from RNAcentral.
CCUACGGGAGGCAGCAGUGGGGAAUAUUGCACAAUGGGGGAAACCCUGAUGCAGCGACGCAGCGUGAGUGAAGAAGUAUUUCUGUAUGUAAAGCUCUAUCAGCAUGGAAGAAAAUGACGGUACCUGAUUAAGAAGCCCCGGCUAACUACGUGCCAGCAGCCGCGGUAAUACGUAGGGUGCAAGCGUUAUCCGGAUUUACUGGGUGUAAAGGGAGCGUAGACGGCAGCACAAGUCUGGAGUGAAAUGCCUGGGCUUAACCCCGGAACUGCUUUGGAAACUGUGAAGCUAGAGUGCAGGAGAGGUAAGUGGAAUUCCUAGUGUAGCGGUGAAAUGCGUAGAUAUUAGGAGGAACACCAGUGGCGAAGGCGGCUUACUGGACUGUAACUGACGUUGAGGCUCGAAAGCGUGGGGAGCAAACAGGAUUAGAUUCCCGGGUAGUC